RNAcentral lists this long non-coding RNA (323 nucleotides) under Nicotiana benthamiana. Its description in RNAcentral is "long non-coding RNA (NBEN_LNC001882)". The record is from RNAcentral. Lineage: Eukaryota; Viridiplantae; Streptophyta; Magnoliopsida; Solanales; Solanaceae.
AUCUUAUUCAUCAAGUACUUGAUGUGCAUAUACAUAAGUGAGCCAAGAAAGUUAAACAGGUCACGCUCCCAAGGUUCACUUGAUAUUUCAGUAAGAAACAUUCAGAAAGGCAGGGUAAGACUGCGUACAUUAGACCCUUGUGUCCGGCCCUUCCCCAAACCCCGCGCAUAGCGGGAGCUUAGAGCACCGGUUUGCCAUUUUGCCCUUUAAACAUAGCAGUUGAUUACUCUGAGGGCAGAUUCAAGAACUGUAUAAGGGCUCUGGAUCUACAUUUCUUCUAAUCCUGAAACAUUUUCCAAAAACAAAAGCAGCAUGUAAGUUGG